GACGAACGCUGGCGGCGUGCCUAAUACAUGCAAGUCGAGCGCAGGAAGUCGACGGAACCCUUCGGGGGGAAGUUGAUGGAAUGAGCGGCGGACGGGUGAGUAACACGUAAAGAACCUGCCCUCAGGUCUGGGAUAACCACGAGAAAUCGGGGCUAAUACCGGAUGGGUCAUCGGACCGCAUGGUCCGAGGAUGAAAGGCGCUUCGGCGUCGCCUGGGGAUGGCUUUGCGGUGCAUUAGCUAGUUGGUGGGGUAAUGGCCCACCAAGGCGACGAUGCAUAGCCGACCUGAGAGGGUGAUCGGCCACACUGGGACUGAGACACGGCCCAGACUCCUACGGGAGGCAGCAGUAGGGAAUCUUCCACAAUGGACGAAAGUCUGAUGGAGCAACGCCGCGUGAACGAUGAAGGCCUUCGGGUCGUAAAGUUCUGUUGUAAGGGAAGAACAAGUGCCGCAGGCAAUGGCGGCACCUUGACGGUACCUGGCGAGAAAGCCACGGCUAACUACGUG
Molecule: ribosomal RNA, 508 nt
Filed under: uncultured bacterium
Lineage: Bacteria
Description: partial 16S ribosomal RNA
Rfam family: Bacterial small subunit ribosomal RNA
Source: RNAcentral